AGUGAACGCUGGCGGUAGGCCUAACACAUGCAAGUCGAACGGCAGCACAGUAAGAGCUUGCUCUUACGGGUGGCGAGUGGCGGACGGGUGAGGAAUACAUCGGAAUCUACUUUUUCGUGGGGGAUAACGUAGGGAAACUUACGCUAAUACCGCAUACGACCUACGGGUGAAAGCAGGGGAUCUUCGGACCUUGCGCGAUUGAAUGAGCCGAUGUCGGAUUAGCUAGUUGGCGGGGUAAAGGCCCACCAAGGCGACGAUCCGUAGCUGGUCUGAGAGGAUGGUCAGGCACACUGGAACUGAGACACGGUCCAGACUCCUACGGGAGGCAGCAGUGGGGAAUAUUGGACAAUGGGCGCAAGCCUGAUCCAGCCAUACCGCGUGAGUGAAGAAGGCCUUCUGGUUGUAAAGCCCUUUUGUUGGGAAAGAAAAGCAGCAGGUUAAUACCCCGCUGUUCUGACGGUACCCAAAGAAUAAGCACCGGCUAACUUCGUG
This 492-nucleotide ribosomal RNA is filed under the name uncultured bacterium. RNAcentral's name for it is "partial 16S ribosomal RNA". It matches the Rfam family "Bacterial small subunit ribosomal RNA", at positions 29 to 507 of the family's 1533-position model. The record is from RNAcentral.